RNAcentral lists this ribosomal RNA (549 nucleotides) under uncultured Glomeromycotina. RNAcentral's name for it is "SSU rRNA". It matches the Rfam family "Eukaryotic small subunit ribosomal RNA", at positions 548 to 1098 of the family's 1831-position model. The record is from RNAcentral. Lineage: Eukaryota; Fungi; Glomeromycota.
UUGGAGGGCAAGUCUGGUGCCAGCAGCCGCGGUAAUUCCAGCUCCAAUAGCGUAUAUUAAAGCUGUUGCAGUUAAAAAGCUCGUAGUUGAAUUUCGGGGUCAGUAGGUCGGUCGUGCCACUGGUAUGAACUGGUUUUACUGAUUCCUCCCUCUUGAAGAACUGUAAUGCCAUUAAUUUGGUGUUGCAGGGAAUCAGGACCGUUACUUUGAAAAAAUUAGAGUGUUUAAAGCAGGCUUUAGCUUGAAUACAUUAGCAUGGAAUAAUGAAAUAGGACGUUUGAUCCUAUUUUGUUGGUUUCUAGGAUUGACGUAAUGAUUAAUAGGGAUAGUUGGGGGCAUUAGUAUUCAAUUGUCAGAGGUGAAAUUCUUGGAUUUAUUGAAGACUAACUACAGCGAAAGCAUUUGCCAAGGAUGUUUUCAUUAAUCAAGAACGAAAGUUAGGGGAUCGAAGACGAUCAGAUACCGUCGUAGUCUUAACCAUAAACUAUGCCGACUAGGGAUCGGAUGAUGUUAAUUUUUUAAUGACUCAUUCGGCGCCUUACGGGAAAC